UGCCCAGAGUGACAGUCAUGUCUUUCCAGGG
This 31-nucleotide non-coding RNA is filed under the name Rattus norvegicus (Norway rat). Lineage: Eukaryota; Metazoa; Chordata; Mammalia; Rodentia; Muridae. The record is from RNAcentral.